UACGAGGGGGGCAAGCGUUGUUCGGAAUUACUGGGCGUAAAGCGUGCGUAGGUGGUUUGUUAAGUCUGUUGUGAAAGCCCCGGGCUCAACCUGGGAAUGGCAAUGGAUACUGGCAGGCUAGAGUGCGGUAGAGGGUAGUGGAAUUCCCGGUGUAGCGGUGAAAUGCGUAGAGAUCGGGAGGAACACCAGUGGCGAAGGCGGCUACCUGGACCAGCACUGACACUGAGGCACGAAAGCGUGGGGAGCAAACAGG
RNAcentral lists this ribosomal RNA (253 nucleotides) under uncultured bacterium. Its description in RNAcentral is "partial 16S ribosomal RNA". It matches the Rfam family "Bacterial small subunit ribosomal RNA", at positions 524 to 776 of the family's 1533-position model. The record is from RNAcentral.